CACCCUCUUUUCUUAUCAUUGACAUUUAAACUCUGGGGCAGGUCCUCGCGUAGAACGCGGCUGUCAGAUCUGCCACUUUCCCUGCCGAGCGGCGGUGAGAAGUGUGGGAACCGGCGCCGCCUGGCUCACCUGCCUCCCCGCCCUCCGCACCCAGGGAUCGGAGAAUCGCUCUCACACACCCAACCAGCAGCGUCCGUGGAGAAAACUCUCGCCAGCAACUCCUUUAAAAACACCAUUUCCAAGCCUUGUGGUCUUUAAUAAGCAACUACCGCCAAACCAAAAAGCAAAAGCAAAACCCCUACUAACCCAACACAACUCUUGACAGGAGCUUUCGCGAGAGAGGAUGCCGCAUCAAGGAGGAAGACUUUAACUAGGGGCGCGCAGAUGUGUGAGACCCUUUAUUGUAAGAGUGGACAGACAUCUCAGAUCUCAGG
Suncus etruscus (white-toothed pygmy shrew) is the source of this 434-nucleotide long non-coding RNA. RefSeq lists it as uncharacterized. The record is from RefSeq and is a predicted model, not a curated record. The transcript is spliced from 3 exons. NCBI's taxonomy places the organism in Eukaryota, Metazoa, Chordata, Mammalia, Eulipotyphla, Soricidae.